RNAcentral lists this ribosomal RNA (253 nucleotides) under uncultured bacterium. RNAcentral's name for it is "partial 16S ribosomal RNA". It matches the Rfam family "Bacterial small subunit ribosomal RNA", at positions 524 to 776 of the family's 1533-position model. The record is from RNAcentral.
UACGUAGGUGGCAAGCGUUGUCCGGAUUUACUGGGCGUAAAGAGCGCGCAGGCGGUCGUUCAAGUCGCGUGUGAAAGCCCCCGGCUCAACUGGGGAGGGUCACGCGAUACUGAUCGACUCGAAGGCAGGAGAGGGAAGUGGAAUUCCCGGUGUAGUGGUGAAAUGCGUAGAUAUCGGGAGGAACACCAGUGGCGAAGGCGACUUCCUGGCCUGUUCUUGACGCUGAGGCGCGAAAGCUAGUGGAGCAAACGGG